AUCAGCCUUUCGGGUGCGAUUCUGUGGGGUUUGAGGAGCUUAACACCUUCAUGCUUUGCAUAUUCGUGCUCUUGGGUGUACUUGCCCGUGUGGUUGGUUAACAUCAAUUUUGGUGGUCAUAAAAUGACUGGAGGAAUGUAGCUUCGAUCUUGUAUUGAAGUGUUAUAGCCUUCGGUAGAUGUGAUGAUCGAGAUUGAGGAUUGCAACGGAUACCCUUCGGGGCUAUCUGUCUGAUCUCUGAUCGUUGUUCUGGUGCCGAAAGCUUGCUUACGGUUAUCAAAGUCGAUGGUCAAUAGGUUAGAACGGGUUAAAUUCGUUAAGGAUGUUGACGUAAUGGCUUU
Molecule: ribosomal RNA, 341 nt
Filed under: uncultured Glomeromycotina
Lineage: Eukaryota; Fungi; Glomeromycota
Description: eukaryotic LSU rRNA
Source: RNAcentral